This 669-nucleotide ribosomal RNA is filed under the name Xanthomonas sp. EECC-608. Its description in RNAcentral is "bacterial SSU rRNA". It matches the Rfam family "Bacterial small subunit ribosomal RNA", at positions 89 to 754 of the family's 1533-position model. The record is from RNAcentral. Lineage: Bacteria; Pseudomonadati; Pseudomonadota; Gammaproteobacteria; Lysobacterales; Lysobacteraceae.
UGGCGAGUGGCGGACGGGUGAGGAAUACAUCGGAAUCUACCUUUUCGUGGGGGAUAACGUAGGGAAACUUACGCUAAUACCGCAUACGACCUUAGGGUGAAAGCGGAGGACCUUCGGGCUUCGCGCGGAUAGAUGAGCCGAUGUCGGAUUAGCUAGUUGGCGGGGUAAAGGCCCACCAAGGCGACGAUCCGUAGCUGGUCUGAGAGGAUGAUCAGCCACACUGGAACUGAGACACGGUCCAGACUCCUACGGGAGGCAGCAGUGGGGAAUAUUGGACAAUGGGCGCAAGCCUGAUCCAGCCAUGCCGCGUGGGUGAAGAAGGCCUUCGGGUUGUAAAGCCCUUUUGUUGGGAAAGAAAAGCAGUCGGUUAAUACCCGAUUGUUCUGACGGUACCCAAAGAAUAAGCACCGGCUAACUUCGUGCCAGCAGCCGCGGUAAUACGAAGGGUGCAAGCGUUACUCGGAAUUACUGGGCGUAAAGCGUGCGUAGGUGGUUGUUUAAGUCCGUUGUGAAAGCCCUGGGCUCAACCUGGGAAUUGCAGUGGAUACUGGGCAACUAGAGUGUGGUAGAGGAUGGCGGAAUUCCCGGUGUAGCAGUGAAAUGCGUAGAGAUCGGGAGGAACAUCUGUGGCGAAGGCGGCCAUCUGGACCAACACUGACACUGAGGCAC